Molecule: ribosomal RNA, 497 nt
Filed under: uncultured bacterium
Lineage: Bacteria
Description: partial 16S ribosomal RNA
Rfam family: Bacterial small subunit ribosomal RNA
Source: RNAcentral
GAUGAACGCUGGCGGCGUGCCUAAUACAUGCAAGUCGAGCGAACAGACGAGGAGCUUGCUCCUCUGACGUUAGCGGCGGACGGGUGAGUAACACGUGGAUAACCUACCUAUAAGACUGGGAUAACUUCGUGAAACCGGAGCCAAUACCGGAUAAUAUAUUGAACCGCAUGGUUCAAUAGUGAAAGACGGUUUUCCUGUCACUUAUAGAUGGAUCCGCGCCGCAUUAGCUAGUUGGUAAGGGAACGGCUUACCAAGGCAACGAUGCGUAGCCGACCUGAGAGGGUGAUCGGCCACACUGGAACUGAGACACGGUCCAGACUCCUACGGGAGGCAGCAGUAGGGAAUCUUGCGCAAUGGGCGCAAGCUUGACGGAGCCACGCCGCGUGAGUGAUGAAGGUCUUCGGAUCGUAAAGCUCUGUUAUUAGGGAAGAAAAAAUGUGUAAUAAUCUACGGCCGUCUUGACGGUACCUAAUCAGAAAGCCCCGGCUAACUACGUG